CUCUCGAUUUGUUUCAGGUGCCUUAGUAAGCAAAAAAAAGUAAAGAACGAAAACCUAAAACUUACAAAAAGAAAAAAAAAAAGAGAGAGAGAGAUGAAGAAGACCUGAAGCCUGAAACCAUUCCUGGUAUGUUACCUGAUCAUUUGCAACAAGAUGUCAAAUAGACUACAGAGGCUUUACUGACUAGAGGUGAGGUUAGGUUCCUGUUGCUUAAGGAAAAGGCAAACGGAAAGAACUUCAGGGGCACGCUUAACACUUUGGUGGAAGCUGGAUUUUAGAAAAAUCAAUAUAGUAAACUAUCGACAAAGUUGAAAGAGUGUGUGGAUUGGGCACAACUAGUGAAAAGCUUACCCGGCAGGCAGGGAAACCCUCGAGGGUGGAGAGUAGAGAGGAAAAUUUUAAAUAUCCACCAGAGCCUAGUGAUCUAUUAACAUGCGUCCUCCUCCCCAGGUCCUGCUCUUGCCCCCAGAGCAACUAGCCGCAGGAAAGCAAGCACUUAAACCUCUCCCUCGGACUUGAGAAGGCUUGAGUUAACUAGCGCUGUAAAUAAUGUUUCUUCCUAAACUGAAGGCACAUCUGACUCCCUAGCCAAGGCCCAGGAGAAAGCAAGAAGCCGAGUUCAGUUUCUUCCGAAGUGAGCCACUCUGCCCCUCUACUCCAUCCUCUUGAAUAAGGAAACAGCCGCCAAGCAUCAGCCGAGCCCCGAUGAGCCGGGGCCGCGGAACCGCUUAGCAGUCUCCCGGGACCCAGCUCUGGAGGAGCCGCAAGCAUGCACCCUGGGUGAGCUGUUGCUAUCCCGAGCUCCCCUCCUCUUUCUUACUUUGGGCUACUUUGCCGGACCUGCACUAUACUUGUACUUCUGUCAGUGCAGAAAAAGUGGCGGUAAUCAGCCAAAAGGGGUCGGGGGGUCUGUGGACAGACACAGGAUCCCGGAGAAAACCCAUGUUACUCACCCUCCCUCCCGUUUCAGGUUGUGGCUGCUUCUGGUUACUUUGUGCCUGACCGAGGAACUGGCAGGAGCGUUUUUGAAACCUGUUCAAAAUUACAGAAAGCUUCAAGUAUGCUACAAAUUGUUUUUGCUUCAACCAUUUGAGGACCAAGUUGCGCAUCUGAUACCACAUCACUCCCAAAUACUUUAGUGUAUAUUUCCUACAAACAGCGAUGUUCUGUUAUGUACUCAUUUUUUCCUCUUUAAAAAAAUUAUUAUGAAAUAUUUUAGGCAACAGAAAUGUGAUGCUGGGUUGGCCAAAAGGUCCAUUCAGGUUUGGGGAAAGUCUGAAUGGACUUUUUGGCCAAUCCAAUAUAUAUAUAUAUAUAUUCAAAUAAUAUAAUAAACAUAUAUAAUAAUGUAAGGCUUCCCUGGUGGCUCAGACGGUAAAGUGUCUGCCUGCAAUGUGGGAGACCUGGGUUCGAUCCCUGGGUCGGGAAGAUUCUCUGGAGAAGGAAAUGGCAAUCCACUUCAGUACUCUUGCCUGGAAAAUCCCAUGGAUGGAGGAGCCUGGUAGGCUACCGUCUAUGGGGUCGCAAAGAGUCGGACACGACUGAGCGACUAAAUCAAAUCAAUCAAUAAUAUAAUAAACAUAAUGAAUAUAUGACCAUCACCCAGCUUAAGAAAUAAAAUACUACCAAUGCAGUUGAAACCACCUGUAUAUCACUUCCAGUCCCAUCCCCACCAUCUUGAAUUUAAUAUAUAUCAUUCAUUCCUAAGAUGGAGUUUCUAAAUGGGUUUCAGGUGGGUCUAUAAGUACCCUGAAAUUGUGUGUAAAAUUAGGUAUGCAUAUCUAUUUUUCUGGGGAAAAGAUCCAUAGCUUUGAUGAGAUUUACAUGCAUAAAAGUAAGUUGUAUGUGAAGUACCAGAGUUUAUGAAAAAAUAGUCUACAGUUAAUGCAUAUCUUUUUCUGCCACCCAUUUUAUUGUUCAGCUCUUGGUCUUUGGCUUUUUCCCCAACAAAUUCACUAAGACUGAUUUCUUAAAGGUCACUUCCUAAUCACCAAAUUCAAUUGCUUCUUCUCAGUCCCUAUCCUCAUUGAACUACCAGUAGCGUCUUACUCAGUAGCACUUCUCCUUCUAGACUCUCUACCUCACCUUGGCUUGUGCACUCUCUUGACGUUCUUCAGUCUCCUCAUUCAAAAAGUAUGAUACUUACCUCAUAUGAUGAUGAGGGUUAGCUGUAAUGUUCAUAAAGUACCUGAUUGUUAUAUGUGCUCAGUAAAUUGUAGCUGUUGGCAGAAGAUGGCAGAAAAUGUUUGAUCCCUUGGUUGGGAAGACCCCCUGGAGAAGGAAAUGGCAACCCACUCCAGAGUUCUUCCCUGGGAAAUCCCAUGGACAGAGGAGCCUGGCAGUCUACAGUCCAUGGGUCGCAAAAGAGUCAGACAUGACUUAGCACCUAAGACAACAACAAUUCUCAUACCACUGUGGUGCAUCCCCAGCCUCUGUUUAAGGUGUUGUGAAUGGACAGAGACAAUUACUGCCUCAGCUUUCUGUAGUGCUGUUCAUUAGCCUAGGAGUAGCCUUAUACCUAUGAGUAGUUCUGGUUAGGGCAGGAUCAGUGAUCCUAAGAGUCUUCAAGAAAAAAUAAUUUAGGUGAAGUCUAGUACUUUGGCCACCUCAUGCGAAGAGUUGACUCAUUGGAAAAGACUCUGAUGCUGGGAGGGAUUGGGAACAGGAGGAGAAGGGGACGACAGAGGAUGAGAUGGCUGGAUGGCAUCACUGACUCGAUGGACGUGAGUCUGAGUGAACUCCGGGAGUUGGUGAUGGACAGGGAGGCCUGGCGUGCUGCGAUUCAUGGGGUCGCAAAGAGUCGGACAUGACUGAGCAACUGAACUGAACUGAACUGAGGUAGCCUUAAGUUACAUAGGGAUAUAGUUUUAAAAUUCAUCCCCUAAAGUUUGUAACACUGUUCUCAGCCUGGUCUCCUUUAAGAACCUCAGAUGGUAAAAGGAUAGUUCUCCUUUCCUUGUUUGUUCAGCUUUUUACCACUCUGCUACUAAAUAGACUAAAAAUUGUAGGCGCCAACUGUAUUACGAAGGGCACCUGCUGGCUUCAAACUGGCCUAGGGCCAGUUAUCCUGGACAGGCCAUUGAAGAACCUUAUGACUUUCAGUCACUAUUUACUUGGAACAGAAUGAGAGGAAGGAUUUAUAUCAAGUUACCAGUCCCCUGAGUCUGCUCUGUCCUGAACUGUCCUCUUUAUUUUUCACAUUCUCUGUUAGCUGCCAGUAACAGUGACAUACUUUUGUUUAUAUGCAUAACAGAACCUUAUAAUAUCUGAGGGCACAAAUCUCUGAGUAGGGCCAAAGCCCUUACUGAGGCCCAUCAGUCAAGUUAUUUUUGCCUUCUGUUUGGUAAAGUGCUUGACCUCAUAACUGCCAUCUCUUCAGUCAGCAUAGGAUAAGUUAUGUUGCUAUAGCAAACAACUCCCAACAUCUCAGUGGCUUAAAAUAACAAAAGUUUAUUUUUUGUUCAUACUGUAAGUCCAUCAUGGGUCAUCUGUGGGACAUUGUGUGGUACUCAAUCUAGGACCCAGAGGGAACAGCUGCCAUCUGGGACACUACUGAUCAUUGUGGCAGAGGGAAAGAAAGCAAGCUCUGGGGGUCUCACACUGGGCUACCAAUUAAAUCUUAUUUUUGAAUAUGGCACAUAUCAUUUUUUUCAUAUACCAUUGAUCAUCCUUGAUCAGAGACCAGUUGGAAGCCGAGAAGGGCAUUCCUACCAUGUGCCCUGAAGGUGGAGAGCUGGAGAUAUUCAGUCACACUGUUAUUUAAUAUUCCCUGUAGAAGGACAUCACUGGUGUCUCUAGCUCUGUCCCUUCCCUUGGGACAUCUUGCUAAGUCACUUCCCUUCAGUUUCACUCAUACUGGUUUAUUUGAUUCUGCAAAAACCAAGCUCCUUAAUCAGUUUGGUAAUUAUUAUGCAUAGCAUAGAAAGCUGUAUUGUUUAAUGCAAGGAUUUUUUCCCCCUUGAUUUGAAUUCCUCCAGCUUCUUUGGUAUUUCUGCAGUUGCACACUGCUAUGAUAUACAGAGGUAUUAACUGGGAAUAGCUUUGUUUCAGUAAAAUGCUAUCUUUUGGACUCAUCCUCACUGCCUGCUGUUUACAGUUGUAAGUAACAGAAUCGCUUAAUUCUGUAAUCCUCUAACCAUAAAGAUGGGAUUAAAUGACUGAGUGCAAACUAGAACUCAGGUUUUCUGACUCAGAGUCUGUUUUCUUUUUAUUACACCAGGCCCUAUUAUAAAGAAAGUUGUCUAACAGGCAGCUCUGUAAUUUACUACCAGAGAUGACUGGUAACUUCAGAUUCUAGUCUUUAAUCUUGAACAGAAGGAAUUUUCCAUUUCAGUGUCUCCUUUUGAGUCUUUUGAUGAAUUCCAUGUCAUAAAAUCAGAUUCCUGGGAUUCUGAUGCCAAUAAGUUUGUGUUCUUUCUUGAAGCAAAUAAACAACUGGCCCUGAAUGAAUCAAACACAUGAUCCUGACUAUCUGUAAGUCCCAAACAAAUGACUUACACCUUAUCUCAAUCUAGAAUAACGCAUUACAUGUAUUGUGUUGUUGCAGACUUGUUUCUCACUAGUAUUUAGAAUGCAAGACGAUGCUCAAGUCUUCAAAUUACAAACGGUAUCCAUAUCUCCUGGUGAAAGCAUUACUGCACAAACUGUGCCAACCUAUUUAAACUUGGA
Long non-coding RNA from Capra hircus (goat), 4668 nucleotides. The record is from Ensembl. Lineage: Eukaryota; Metazoa; Chordata; Mammalia; Artiodactyla; Bovidae.